UCUCUCUCUCUCUCUCUCUCUCUCUCUCAUUCUCUUCCUUUCUCAGCUCUCUUUAUCAGUCGCUUCACGAAACCCACCUUAUCCUCUCAUCUGAAUCACGAAACCCCCUCAACCCCAUCUUCUAUGUCUUUCUUCAGAAUUGCCUAAGUUCGCAGCUACUUGCAACCUCGAAGCUUAACUCCAUCGCCAACCUCCAAUAGCGUUUCUUCCUCUCACUGAAGCUUAGGCUCCGCACCAACUUUGGCAGGCAGCAUUGUGCAAACUGUGUGAAAAAUAGAAGAUUCUGCUUCGGACUCAUAAUGUAAAUCUUGAUGGCCAGCCUCAUCAUUGAAGCUUUCAUGAAACAAUUCAAUCAGUUGCUUUUUCACAUCAGUUGCAGGGGAUUUUAUGGGGCUGCUUUGGUGGAUUGGAGUAUUGGUGCUGGAUGGGGUAAGAUCUGCAACAAAAUGAAAAAUCUAAAGUUCCAGCAUCAUAUUUGUUUAGGACAUUAGAAGAAAUUUGGUGUGACAAAUUUAAGUUGAUAUAUCUUACCACCAUUGACACUGAAGAAAUCUUCACAAUCAGAUUCUAACCUGGGGUCAGAAGAAAAUUGCAUAUCCUCUUUGCCAUCUACAGAGUAGCAAGCAUGCACAGAUUGCUUACAAAACGAGAAACUCAAACAAAAUCGAAAUUUUCCAGCUACCAAAGUAGUGACAUUUAACAGGACCAUGAACAAUUUAAUCAUUGAAAGGCUAUAGUUAGUUAGUACUAAUAUAUGUGUAAAUCAAUUAAUAAACCAUGAAUUUAGAAACCCAAGUGGGUAGAAUUAUACUUAUUAGUUCUCGUAAACUGCUUGCACCGGGCAUCACGGUACGAAUUGUGUUUUCUUGAAUAGGCCGUUCAGUGAGGAUGCAUCCUGUCCUAGAAAAGCUUGAGCAUUUGAGUUGUGACUUAGGGGAAGAGUCUUGGGUUUUACGAACCGAACCACAAUUUCCCAUCUCUUGAAAAAGAAAAACUCACACUUUUUCUUCACAGAAAUUCAUCUUCGGUUCGCUGCAUUGAUACGGACAAGAAGAUCCUAAGGGGUUUUAGUUGGUUGGCUUUUUGUACAUUACGGAAGUAAAGGUUUUGGCUCAACUAGAAUCUGGUGGACAAGUUGAACGGUCUUGGAAGCUAAGCAUUGGCUAUGGCAGUGGUUGGUUCCCUUCCCACUCUGUAAAAUCGUUGGGAUUUGGAGCACCGGUCGCUUUCAAUCAAAGAAAGCAUUAUUUACUUGUACGCCAUAUCAAGUUGUAUCCGAAAUCGGAAAAUAUGCUCUUUAUUUACA
Prunus dulcis (almond) is the source of this 1306-nucleotide long non-coding RNA. RefSeq lists it as uncharacterized. NCBI's taxonomy places the organism in Eukaryota, Viridiplantae, Streptophyta, Magnoliopsida, Rosales, Rosaceae. The record is from RefSeq and is a predicted model, not a curated record. The transcript is spliced from 3 exons.